Canis lupus familiaris (dog) is the source of this 666-nucleotide long non-coding RNA. RefSeq lists it as uncharacterized. NCBI's taxonomy places the organism in Eukaryota, Metazoa, Chordata, Mammalia, Carnivora, Canidae. The transcript is spliced from 5 exons. The record is from RefSeq and is a predicted model, not a curated record.
CUCUACCCCAUAUCAGCAGGACCCACCAGUGGGGAGCUGAGCCUGUACCCUGACCUGGCAUUCAUGAAGCAGAAAUAGGUGAUGUGAGCCUGGAGUCUGUCUUCGGAGUAGCCCUUGAUCUCACUGGACCGGCCAAAGGCACCUGCCAUCAUGAAGAUGGGGUCAAAAUCUGUGAGCUUCCUGGAUACAUAGCAAGUACCUGUUCUGGAGGGCUCUUCCCUCUGUACUGGUGAUGGCUGAGGUGGAAGUAUCGGAAGCCCCACUGCUGCUACAAAUAUAAAUGUUUAUUUCACGCAGGAGAAUAUCUUGCUCCUGAGCUCUGCCAAACUCUGAGAUACCCCCAGAUCCAAGCAUUUCCUGGACUGUGGGCCAUCUUCGACUCUUUCCACCACAACUAGCUGUUCUCCGAUGAUCCAUUUAGCAGCUUCUUCCAUCCAGAGUAGCACUGUCUCCUGCAUUUUACCACCACAGGCUUCCAGUAGAUUUAUCUGUGACACACAGAGCAAGGAUUACAGCCGUUUGUCUUCCAACAGUAAGAUUAACCGUGUUCUCACAAGAGACCCCAACGCUUCCAAGAUGGUGUCUUUUUUUCCUUCUCAGAGACAUGAAUGCAAUCUCAGGCACACAAUGGAAGCAGUGCCAAUAAAGUCUAUUCUUGUCAGCCUC